AUAAAUACAGUGAAUAGGAAGAGUACGGGAUGUUCGUCUUUCAGAGAGAGAAAUCAGCUGCUGUGAGAUUUCUUAAGAAUGUGCACUCGGAAUGUCGCCUAUGAGUAGCUUUUUUGAACAGCUGCAUAGCUCAGUAGAAAAAGCCGGUUAAUCAACCGUUAUGAAAUGAAGUGUAUAGGCUUAUCAAACGGGAUACGUCUAUAAAAAAAGGUGGUACCGCGAAAUCAACUCCUUUCGUCCUUUUA
This 245-nucleotide non-coding RNA is filed under the name Priestia megaterium. Its description in RNAcentral is "Bacillus megaterium T-box sequence". It matches the Rfam family "T-box leader". From Rfam's summary of the family: Uncharged tRNA acts as the effector for transcription antitermination of genes in the T-box leader family. T-boxes are found upstream of many aminoacyl-tRNA synthetase genes and some amino acid biosynthetic genes usually in Gram-positive bacteria. The anticodon of a specific tRNA base pairs to a specifier sequence within the T-box motif, and the NCCA acceptor tail of the tRNA base pairs to a conserved bulge in the T-box antiterminator hairpin. Lineage: Bacteria; Bacillati; Bacillota; Bacilli; Caryophanales; Bacillaceae. The record is from RNAcentral.